GAUGAAGAACGUAGCGAAAUGCGAUAAGUAGUGUGAAUUGCAGAAUUCAGUGAAUCAUCGAAUCUUUGAACGCACAUUGCGCCCCUUGGUAUUCCAUGGGGCAUGCCUGUUCGAGCGUCAUUUGUACCUUCAAGCUUUGCUUGGUGUUGGGUGUUUGUCCAUUCUCUUGCAGAGCGACUCGCCUUAAAGUAAUUGGCAGCCAGUGUUUUGGUUUUGAAGCGCAGCACAAGUCGCGAUUCAACGCUAUACGCCAGCUUCCACAAGCCUUUUUCACUUUUGACCUCGGAUCAGGUAGGGAUACCCGCUGAACUUAAGCAUAUCAAUAAGCGGAGGA
This 334-nucleotide unclassified non-coding RNA is filed under the name soil metagenome. RNAcentral's name for it is "partial contains 5.8S ribosomal RNA, internal transcribed spacer 2, and large subunit ribosomal RNA". The stretch from base 1 to 120 matches the Rfam family "5.8S ribosomal RNA", at positions 35 to 154 of the family's 154-position model. The record is from RNAcentral.